AGCUUGCUCUUUUCAGAAUUGAGUGGCAAACGGGUGAGUAACACGUAAACAACCUGCCCUGGAGUGGGGGACAACAGACGGAAACGACUGCUAAUACCGAAUAAGUUCCAAGAGCCGCAUGGCCCAUGGAAGAAAAGGUGGCCUCUACCUGUAAGCUAUCGCCUGAAGAGGGGUUUGCGUCUGAUUAGCUGGUUGGAGGGGUAACGGCCCACCAAGGCGACGAUCAGUAGCCGGUCUGAGAGGAUAAACGGCCACACUGGAACUGAGACACGGUCCAGACUCC
This 283-nucleotide ribosomal RNA is filed under the name uncultured Dialister sp. Its description in RNAcentral is "partial 16S ribosomal RNA". It matches the Rfam family "Bacterial small subunit ribosomal RNA", at positions 77 to 339 of the family's 1533-position model. The record is from RNAcentral. Lineage: Bacteria; Bacillati; Bacillota; Negativicutes; Veillonellales; Veillonellaceae.